UUAAAACAACACAAAGAAAAGGAAUGAUCUCGUGGUUUAACACACAUUGAACAAAUAAAACAGUCAACUAUUUUCUCAAACCAGAAAAACGAAUAAAACCAGAAUUUAAAAGUGAAAGAGAGAAAGAAACAACAAUUGGAUGGUUUCAGUAUUCUUUGACCAAUCGAAAGGAUUGCUCAAGUUCCUUGCCGUUUUUAUAAACUAGACCAAACAUAAAUAUGUAAAGCUUUUGUACACGACUACAUGUAUAAAAUGAUUGAGUUAUGCAAGUCUGGAGAAAAAAGCCAGCCACCAAUUGCGGAAGUUCUCAAAAUUAUGUCCUCCCCAGGACCAAAAAUAAGAAAACGCUCCAUCAGCGGAAAACUCUUUGCAGAUGUUCUCCUGUCUAAAAGGAUGAGAAUUGGACAAGAAUAAGGUAGCAUACUAGCCUCUGUCUUAAAUGAACAACCCUUGUGUUGUUUAUGAUGAUAGUUUCUGUGUCAUGUAGCCUUAGGGCAGUUUACCUUUACUUUGCAGUUGAGGUGAGAUUGAAUGAUGACGAUGGUUGAAGUACCCUGCUAUGUAACUGAUAACUUCAAAGUGACAUAAGAUACAAUAACUUGUAUCACGGUGGGCAAUCAACAGGUGCCUAGGCGCUAGUCGGGGCCGUGGGGGUCCAACACCUGGACUAUAAUCCGCCUAGUCGGUCAACUAGUUGGCUUUGAGGUGUUAGCCGCCCGACUAAUCAGCCCCUAGGCACCCCUCCUCUGCCGGACCAACGCCUAGCGACUUUUAGAGCAUUGAUUGUCAAAUAAUCAACUACUAAUAGUUGGCAUCCACUAGUCUAUCAGAUGAUAGC
This is a long non-coding RNA of Rhododendron vialii, 838 nucleotides long. RefSeq lists it as uncharacterized. The record is from RefSeq and is a predicted model, not a curated record. NCBI's taxonomy places the organism in Eukaryota, Viridiplantae, Streptophyta, Magnoliopsida, Ericales, Ericaceae. The transcript has 2 exons.